RNAcentral lists this ribosomal RNA (371 nucleotides) under uncultured bacterium. RNAcentral describes it as "partial 16S ribosomal RNA". It matches the Rfam family "Bacterial small subunit ribosomal RNA", at positions 338 to 706 of the family's 1533-position model. The record is from RNAcentral.
CCUACGGGGGGCAGCAGUGAGGAAUAUUGGUCAAUGGCCGGAAGGCUGAACCAGCCAAGUCGCGUGAGGGAAUAAGGCCCUAUGGGUCGUAAACCUCUUUUGUCAGGGAGCCAAGGCGUCCACGAGUGGACGAAAGGAGAGUACCUGAAGAACAAGCAUCGGCUAACCCCGUGCCAGCAGCCGCGGUAAUACGGAGGUUGCGAGCGUUAUCGGGAUUUAUUGGGUUUAAAGGGUUCGUAGGCGGAGGGUCAAGUAAGCGGUAAAAGUUCGGGGCUCAACCCCGGCGUGCCGUUGAAACUGACACCCUUGAGUGAGUGAGAAGUAAGCGGAAUGCGUGGUGUAGCGGGGAAAUGCAGAGAUAUCACGCAGAA